GUGCUCAAUUCAGCAGCACAUAUACUAAUGUUGGAUUGAUACAGAGAAGAUUAGCAUGGCCCUUGAGAAAAGAUGACACUCAAAUUUGUGUUCCAUAUUUAU
This is a small nuclear RNA of Dipodomys spectabilis (banner-tailed kangaroo rat), 102 nucleotides long. The record is from RefSeq and is a predicted model, not a curated record. Lineage: Eukaryota; Metazoa; Chordata; Mammalia; Rodentia; Heteromyidae.